GGUGUGUUUAGUGAGAAGUUAUCAGUCAUGGAGGGAGAUUCAGUCCGGCUACAAACUAAAAUGACUAAGCUACACGAAGAUGACAACAUACUGUGGACUUAUAGCAAAUCUUUGAUCGCUAAAAUCAGCAUGGAGAAGCAAAUCUUCUCCACAUUUGAUGGUCCUGAUGAUAGAUUCAGAGGCAGACUGAAGAUGGACAAACAGACUGGAUCUCUGACCAUCACAAACAUCAGACUUGAACAUGCUGGGGAAUAUGGAGUAAAGAUAACCGGGGAAAAACUGACUAAAAUAUCAUUCGGUGUUUCUGUGUAUGCUCGUCUAUCCAGUCCUAGCAUUACUAGAGAAUGCUCAUCUUCAUCCCAGAAUAACUGUUCAGUGGUGUGUUCAGUGGUGAAUGUGAGCGCUGUGAGUCUCUCCUGGUACAAAGGAAGCAGUGUAUUGUCCAGCAUCAUUGUGUCUGAUCUCAGCAUCAGUCUCUCUCUACCUCUGGAGGUGGAAUAUCAGGAUAGAAACACCUACAGCUGUGUGAUCAACAACACCAUCAGCAACCAGACCACACAUCUGGACAUCAACACACUCUGUCAGCCGUGUCCAGAUGAGGAUCUGCAUCUGUUCAACAUUGUGUGGAUUUGUGCUGCUGUUGGGUCUCUGUUGAUUUUAGUGUCUGCCGUGAUGUGCUGCAUCUCCAAGAAAUGUAGAAAAACAGGUUAGGUCUAAAAUGUUUAAAGAAAAUAUUCA
Molecule: non-coding RNA, 738 nt
Organism: Danio rerio (zebrafish)
Lineage: Eukaryota; Metazoa; Chordata; Actinopteri; Cypriniformes; Danionidae
Source: Ensembl